GCAUUAGAUAUCUCGGGGUAGAGUUGGGUUUGGACCCAAUAACUGUUAGGUGAGGGUCCCAAUGAUGGCUUUGCAUUUGCUGGUAUACGGUGGGUCUAACUUAACUAAAAAAUAUAUCAAUAACUGUUAGGUGAGGCCACAGAACUUAGAGACCGAACCAAUUACAUCUUGCUUAGUGAAACAAUGGAUAAAGACUUGUCCACUCAUUGGUUUGUGUGUUUUCAAUAACUGUUAGGUGA
Molecule: long non-coding RNA, 239 nt
Filed under: Elaeis guineensis (African oil palm)
Lineage: Eukaryota; Viridiplantae; Streptophyta; Magnoliopsida; Arecales; Arecaceae
Description: long non-coding RNA (EGUI_LNC025589)
Source: RNAcentral